UAGAGACUCAGAGCUGCAUAUCAAUAAGCGGAGGAAAAGAAACUAACAAGGAUUCCCUUAGUAACGGCGAGUGAAGCGGGAAGAGCUCAAAUUUGAAAUCUUCAAGGGUUUCCCUUGACGAAUUGUAGUUUAAAGAAGUGUUUUCUGUUAGAGAGGUGGUAAAAGUUCUUUGGAAUAGGACAUCAUAGAGGGUGAGAAUCCCGUAUUUGAUCACUUUCUACUAACGUUGUGAUACACUUUCAAAGAGUCGGAUUGUUUGGGAAUGCAGUCCAAAAUGGGUGGUAAAUUUCAUCUAAAGCUAAAUAUUGGCGAGAGACCGAUAGCGAACAAGUACCGUGAGGGAAAGAUGAAAAGAACUUUGAAAAGAGAGUUAAACAGUACGUGAAAUUGUCAAAAGGGAAGCGUUUGACACCAGUGUUGUUUUUCCGAAAAUCAAUUACGAAUGUUUUGUUUUUAAGAAGUUAUGACUUCAUCGGCUUGCUUCUUUCUUUACGAAACUUUCUUAAUGCACUUUUCGGUUAACAAGUCAACAUCAAUUUCUUUUGUUGUAAAAGGGUAUGAGGAAGGUGGCUUUCUUUUCGGAGAAAGUGUUUAUAGCCUUGUGCCUCUGCAAUCGGAGAGAUUGAGGUCUGCAGCGUAGAUCCUUCGGGGCUAGAUACGUUUGUGCUAAGUUAUAGCUUUUCAUAGACAACUUGUUGACUUACGUUAGUCUUGUAGCUUACUCGCUGAUGCUAUUUUACCUACGCUUAGGAUGUUGAAGAUAUGCGCGACACG
RNAcentral lists this ribosomal RNA (774 nucleotides) under uncultured Neocallimastigales. RNAcentral describes it as "partial large subunit ribosomal RNA". It matches the Rfam family "Eukaryotic large subunit ribosomal RNA", at positions 23 to 644 of the family's 3401-position model. Lineage: Eukaryota; Fungi; Neocallimastigomycota; Neocallimastigomycetes; Neocallimastigales. The record is from RNAcentral.